RNAcentral lists this ribosomal RNA (254 nucleotides) under uncultured bacterium. RNAcentral describes it as "partial 16S ribosomal RNA". It matches the Rfam family "Bacterial small subunit ribosomal RNA", at positions 524 to 776 of the family's 1533-position model. The record is from RNAcentral.
UACAGAGGUCUCAAGCGUUGUUCGGAUUCAUUGGGCGUAAAGGGUGCGUAGGUGGCGGGGUUAGUCAGGUGUGAAAUCUCGGAGCUCAACUCCGAAACUGCACUUGAUACUGCCUUGCUAGAGUACUGGAGAGGAGAUUGGAAUUUACGGUGUAGCAGUGAAAUGCGUAGAUAUCGUAAGGAAGACCAGUGGCGAAGGCGAAUCUCUGGACAGUUUACUGACACUGAGGCACGAAGGCCAGGGGAGCAAACGGG